RNAcentral lists this ribosomal RNA (355 nucleotides) under uncultured bacterium. RNAcentral's name for it is "partial 16S ribosomal RNA". It matches the Rfam family "Bacterial small subunit ribosomal RNA", at positions 338 to 710 of the family's 1533-position model. The record is from RNAcentral.
CCUACGGGAGGCAGCAGUAGGGAAUAUUGCUCAAUGGGGGAAACCCUGAAGCAGCAACGCCGCGUGGAGGAUGAAGGUUUUCGGAUUGUAAACUCCUUUUGUUAGAGAAGAUAAUGACGGUAUCUAACGAAUAAGCACCGGCUAACUCCGUGCCAGCAGCCGCGGUAAUACGGAGGGUGCAAGCGUUACUCGGAAUCACUGGGCGUAAAGAGCGCGUAGGCGGGAGAGCAAGUCAGAUGUGAAAUCCUAUGGCUUAACCAUAGAAUUGCAUUUGAAACUGUUGUUCUAGAGUAUGGGAGAGGGAGGGAGAAUGUGUGGUGUAGGGGUAAAAUGCGUAGAGAUCAAGAGGAAUACG